UGGGGAAUUUUGGACAAUGGGGGCAACCCUGAUCCAGCAAUGCCGCGUGUGUGAAGAAGGCCUUCGGGUUGUAAAGCACUUUUGUCCGGAAAGAAAACUUCGGGGCUAAUACCCCUGGAGGAUGACGGUACCGGAAGAAUAAGCACCGGCUAACUACGUGCCAGCAGCCGCGGUAAUACGUAGGGUGCGAGCGUUAAUCGGAAUUACUGGGCGUAAUGCGUGCGCAGGCGGUGCUGUAAGACCGAUGUGAAAUCCCCGGGCUUAACCUGGGAACUGCAUUGGUGACUGCAGCGCUGGAGUAUGGCAGAGGGGGGUGGAAUUCCACGUGUAGCAGUGAAAUGCGUAGAGAUGUGGAGGAACACCGAUGGCGAAGGCAGCCCCCUGGGCCAAUACUGACGCUCAUGCACGAAAGCGUGGGGAGCAAACAGG
RNAcentral lists this ribosomal RNA (429 nucleotides) under Bacillota bacterium. RNAcentral's name for it is "Firmicutes bacterium partial 16S ribosomal RNA". It matches the Rfam family "Bacterial small subunit ribosomal RNA", at positions 355 to 776 of the family's 1533-position model. Lineage: Bacteria; Bacillati; Bacillota. The record is from RNAcentral.